Molecule: long non-coding RNA, 1318 nt
Organism: Hyaena hyaena (striped hyena)
Lineage: Eukaryota; Metazoa; Chordata; Mammalia; Carnivora; Hyaenidae
Exons: 4
Source: RefSeq, a predicted model, not a curated record
AGCGGGAGAGACAGAUGUGUAAAUAAGCAAGUAUAUUGCCGUGCAACCCGUGGUGAGGAAGAGACAAGAACACUGGACACAGUAAGAGAAUCCUGGCACCUCUACAAAUUGGGCUGUGCCAGAGAAAAAGAAGUUUUGGAGAUCAGACCAUCCAUCUCCUAGUUUGGGCAGAAACAAUCAUCUCUUCCUCUCCAUCACUCCCUGUUUGACUCUGGGAGGGUGUCAGAGAAAGGAGGCGUCUCUUCUGUUCUGAAGUCUCUAAGGAAGCCAGCCUGGAUCCCACCCUUCCCUUCCAGGGAAUGUAUCCUGUGAUGUUAAAGUAGGAGUCAAGCCUGGAGAAUGAAUUUCUCCUGAACUGUCCCUUCUGCCGGAGAGGCUCUGCAUCCAGGAAACCAGAUCCAGGACACCUUCCUUGUGUACGAAUCACACCUUGGCUCUGGUGCCUAGGAUGGGACACCGACUGAAGAUUAGCCCCGGCACCUGAAUGGACAGAGAAGUGGAGCCCCAAACAGCUCAGAGUGUCAAUGUAUCUAAUACUUCAGGCUCCUGCAUCCUGUUCAAGGAGCCCAUACCCUAAAGCAACUGGUGGGGGUCCCCACUAGAAGGGUAGGGGUCACCCGGGGGAGGCCCGGGGUCCCGUUGGCCCUUCUUCCAACUGAAGAACUCCUCUCCACGCUCCCUUCAGAGCCUUCCCUUCUUGUCUCAGCCUGACUCCCUCCCUGACUCGCCGGGAUUUAUUUCAGGAGAUGUUUCGCCCACUCUGCCUGACGUCUGCGAGAAACUGGGUGCUCAGGGAGUCCUCACCAUCUGCCCCCCUCCGCCAUCCACCAGGCAGCCUCCAUGGGGCUCAGCUCCCAGACCAGGAAAGUCAGCUCAAGCUCACUCCCACACAUGCAAAUCCUCUGCCAAGUGGCUGGUGGUUUUAUUUCUUAUCUCCCCAAAGCAAGGGCAUUACAAUGUCCACCCCCAUACACAUACACACCCCUUGGCUUGAAGAGUCCUUGAAAUCCGGGGAUGGAGGAUGAGGAGCCUGGAUUAAAGUUCCUUCCCCCCCAAACCCUCUCUACAUACACAUUUUAGCAGUGCCUAUGAAAAUCCGAUUAUACAUACCCUUUGAUACAACGAUUACAUGUCUAGGGAUUUAUCUUACAAGCAGUAUGUGCAAAGGGACACCUCGGGGACUCAACACCAGUUAAGGAUCCGACUUCAGCUCAGGUCAUGACCUCAUGGUUUGUGGGUUUGAGGACCACGUCAGGCUCUCCCCUGAAAGUGUAGAACCUGCUUGGGAUUCUCUCGCUUUCUCUCUCUACUGCUCUCC